GUACACUCAUUUGAGAAAGACAUUAUCGGAGAUUUCGAAAACUACUUCUUCUAAAUUUCUAAUCUUCAUAUUUUAUCUCUCGUUCUUGAUAUAUAUCUAUAUAUAUACACAAGUACCCUUUUCUAAUAAUAAAUGGCCAAUUUUUCGACAGCAAAUGAAACUUACUUUUCGAAUCAGCAGAGUUACGAUGAUUUGAAUGAGGUUGAGCUCUUAGAAUAUAUUGACAGCUGUUCACUACUUGUUAUGUCUUUACUCGAGCAAGACGACGACGAUUCAAAAGUCGAAGAUAUUAUUAUUAAUGGAUCUGAUGAUCAAAGGUUCGAUAUUGUGGAUCAAGAAUAUUCCUGCAGUUCUGAUGAGACUUGCAGUACUUCAUCAGACGAAUAUUCAGAAGAUUCUCCCUUUUCCGACGUAGAGCAAUUAAUGGAAAGCUACUCCACGUCACCAGAUGAUCAUGGAUUUGAAUGGAUGGAUACGGAGAUGAAUUAUUUUAUCGAUAAUAAUCAUUUCACAGACGAGAUCGAAACGGCGAAUAUGGUAAUUGAUUACUCGAAUGUUUGUUACUAUGGGACGAUGCCCGUGGAGGAAGAAGUUGAUUACAUUGAUUUGUGGCAAUAGCUAUUUAUAUUUAGUUACACAAUUUUAUGACUGAAAUUAUCAUUGUAUUUAUUAUCGAAAAAAUAUCAAAUUGAUUAAUAUUCUGCAUAUAAUGAAUGGUCAGUAGGUAUAUCUUCAUCAUGAAGAAUUUGUUUAUUUUCUUGAUUCAGUUGGAAAAUAUUGAGUUUGAUUAUAUAAAUAGAUCAAAUUUAUUUUCUCAAAAUCAUCUUUUAGUGAAUGGAAAAUUAUUAAAUCACUGCAAAUAUUCAAUAACGGACCCAUUAAAAAUAUGAAGGUGCAUUUGGAUGGAGGGAUUUCAAAUUCACAAUAACAAAUUAGUUGGACUUGUUUGGCUUAAGAGAUUUGAUAAGAAAUUUAGUUGUUUUUGGAGCAAUUGAGGUGCAUUUCAAAUGACUCCAAAUUGGAGUCAUUUCAAAUCCCAAAUAUCUCAUCCAAACACACUCCGAAGGAGUUUCAAUGCCAUUAGAUCCAAAAUGUGUCAAUUCAAAUAAAAAAGAUACAUAUUCAACUGAAUAUAUAUUCGGAAUUAUGCAAAUGUAGUGUUGGGAAUGAGUAGGUUUCAUCGGUCAACCUACCCACUUUCGACGACCCACUUUUCAUGGCCGAUUAAUGAUGAGUAAGCGGCCCAUAUAGUCGGCCCGAUAAUUUUACCGACCCAUGAAUAAAUUGGUUGGUCGGUUUUUUAGUUUACUCAAAAGUUGGUUGACCGAUAAUUAUCUGACCAACUGAACUUUUUUAAUAUUAUAAAUAAAUUGUAAUAAUUUAAUAAAAUUAUUGUAAUAAAAUUUUAGGGAAAAACUUAAACUUUUUAAAACUAUAAUAAUAUAUAAAAGAAGUCAAACCUCAAAAUACAAAUUUAUAAACUUCUAAGUACUAUUUUCAUUUUAGAAUUCAUAUUUUCUGUUCUUCUUUAUAUAUUUACUUAUUAUAGAAUUUAGUAAAAAAGCCUCUUAAUUUUAAGGUUGGGUUUUUUGCAACAUAUUUUUUUGGGGAAACAUGCAAUACCCCUCAAAUGAAAAUAUUUUAAGAUAAACUUAAUUGAUUUUAAAGACUUUUUCCAUAACCCAAAUUUCAAUUUGAUUUAGUGAGACCUUCCUAACUAACGUGAUAAGACUAAAGUGUGUUUUAAUUUUUUAACGUGAUGCAAUUUCAUUUCUUUAUAUUUCCGUAUCUCUCUCUUUUGUUUUCUAUCUCUUUCUCUCAUAAUUCCUCUUUUUUUUUUCUUCAGAUUCAUAAACUGCCGCCACCGUCGCUUUCCUUCCUCCAGAUUUACACCGACGCCGUUCCCCUCCUUCUUCCUCUUUUUCACACCACCGUUGUAAUCCGCUCACCCAAGCCACCGACCACAAUCGUCGCCUAGGGUUCUGCCGAUACACUCGUUACGAUUUCAAUUCUCCCCAAAACCAGCUGCCGCCGCCACGGACGAAUUCCGUCACACCUCCGUCACCAAAGCCUAUUUGUGACGGCUUUUCCUCAAUUCAGUGACAAACACCUCCGUCACAAAAGCCCAUAUUUUUGGUAGUAUCCUCCCAACCCUUUCAAUACCCCCAAAAACUCUUGCCUCCGCCUCUUCACCACCAACCCAUACAGGAUUGAUGCAAAUAGAACAGCGCCGACGAGAUUUGAGGAACCCCCGUCGCAAUUAUGAGUAUAGUCUUAUUGGCGUCCCGGUUAUUGAAGAAAUACAGACUAUAAUCAUAUGAGACAUGGUAAAUUUCAAUUGGUAAUAUCUACAAUAUUUAUUGGUAAAUAUUUUUCUCGAAUUAAUUGUCGAACUAGCAAUAAAUCUCGUUAUGGAUCUAAAUUUUCAGUUCUAUUAUUUUUUUGUUAUGAAUGCAUAUAUCGAUUUUCAAUUAUUCUGCAUUUUAUUGAUUUUUGUGAUUUUUUGUUAUUUCAGAUCCUAGAGCAGGAUUGUAUGCACUGACACUCCGUGAUUAUACUUUUUUUGGUUUCAUGUUGUUAUGACUUUCUUUCAUUUAUCUGGGAAUGUAUGGGUGUAGGUACCAUUUUUUUAUGGAUUUUGAACUGUAUAAUACCAUAAUAGUCACGUAUAGUCGCGUAAUUACGCCUGUUAUAUUUUGCAAAUAGUUGUGCUUAGAGUCACGUAUAGUCAUAUAAUGUGUUUAUUGAAUAUUUCACACCAUUGCAUAUUUUUUGCCCACUUAACCGUUUACAGUUUUUUCCCUUUUUUGAUGUUUUCAGCUUUGAGCAGCAUCAGUAACAAUGGCAGUGACUUCAAGUGAUGCAUACAGAUUACAUGAACAAGAUUUUAUGAUAGUCCUAUAUCCCUAUAGUCACGAAGUCAUAUAAAUAGUCACAUAUACAAUUAUAUAGUCAUAUAUAAGCUCUGUAGGUUUUUCUGAUGUACAAUGAUACUGAUGAUUUUUUUUUUGAAGAAAUGCAUAUGAUUGUGUGUGAAUAAAUUGUGGUUGUGGAUUGAAGUUGUUUUAAUUCGUUUAUUAUAAAUAAUUGGUGAUAAUACGAAUAUUACUAUUUUUUGGAUUGAAAAUGUGAAAAAUGGUAAAUAUAAAGAAGAAACGUGACUAGAGAUAAUUAUAAUCAAAUAUAGUCAUAUUCGACGAUAGUUAACGGUAGUCAUAUUCGACGUAGUAAACUUAUCAAAAAAAAUAAGAGAAUUUUUUUUUUAAAUAUUUUUAUAAAACAAAUAUUAAAAAUUAAAAAAAAUUAAAAAAAAGUGAAAAUAAUAAAUGCAGUCAAAAUAAUGUUAAUGUUUAUUUAGGUAAGUGAUAGGUAAUAUUGGAAUAAAUAGUGCUAGGAGGUUAUCAUAAAGGAAGAUUUAAGGGAUGGACAUAUCACCAACGUUGUUAGAACCGGACAGGCUAUGAAAUCGGACAACCAUUUGGAUCAUGAUUUUAUAGUGUCGAACCAGUUCAACCGGGUUUUUGACUUUUUUAAUAUGUCAUUAUUUUAUUAAUUUUUGUGUUAUAAAAAUAUUAUUUUCUUUAUAUUUUUAAUCUUCCAUCUAUUAUUUAACUUUUAUCUACUUCCACACACUUUUUAUUAUAUUUUUUUGUUUAUACUCUAUAUUUUCUCAUUCGUUAUUCUCCAAAAUACUUCGGAACUUAAUUUUUUUCUCAUGAUUUUAAUUCUAUACAACUGUCUUUUUUUAUCCACAUCAUCUUGCAUGAGAUAUUUGAGGAGAUAUUACAACGAAUCUUUGGAAUCAUAUAAUUAUUUGGGUUGCUCAAUAAGCCCAUCAAUUAUUCUUUAGGGGUAAUAUGCCUUACACCCCUCAAAUCAAACCUAAUUAGAUAUGAGUGACAACCUCAAAUAGAAUGUUUUAACUACAUUCCUAUUUCAAAGUAAAAAUUGAUACACAUCUUUUUUUUUCUAUUUAACCCAAAAAUAUCCUUACAACACCUAAUAAAAGUCAGUACUCUUUCUCUCUCUCUCUCUCUCUCUUCCCCUCUAUCUCACGCCGCUCAGCACCCCCCUUCUGACUUUCUCGUUUUCUCCUCCACCCCCCUCCCUCUCUCUCUCUCUCUCUCUCUCUCUCUCUCUCUCUCUCUCUCUCUCUCUCUCUCUCUCUCUCUCUCAUGUCGUCCCCAACCCCCCUCCUCCUUUUUUCUUCUCUUUUUUCUUUUCUUUCUCUUUUAAUAGAUUUGUAUUUAAUAAAUGAUUAAAUUCAAUUAUAGUGGAAUAGUUAUGAAGGCUAUGGCGGUGGUUAUGGCAGGUGUGACGGCUAUGGUGGCGGUGGUUAUGGUAGGUGGCGACGACACGGGGUUGUGCUGGAGGGGUUGUGGUUAUGAUUGGGAUGUUAUUGAAAGCAUAUUUUGAACAAUUAAUUGCAUCUGAUUUUCUUAUCUUUUAAGAUUUUUUUUUGCUUAGUUUGGGUUCAAAUGGCAGAUCUAUGUUUUCUCAAAUGUUGGUAGGCAACGGUCGCGGGGGCUGUGAACGUUGGCUGCUAGGGUUGGCGAUGGCUGGGAGUUGUAGACGGCUAGGGUUAAGUAGUAAAACACGGUACACCGUAGUACACUAUAGUACACCGUAGUAUAAUUCCUCCGUAGUAUGCUAGAGUAUACCGUAGUACACCAUAGUAUACUACUGACAAAUGGAAAAUAUGUAAAUUGAAAAGAAAAAAAUAACAAUUUUUUUUUCAAUAUUAUGUAGAAUAAAAAAAUGUUCUUAUAGUAGUGUAUAAAAUGCUAAAAUGAAUAAUGAAAAAAAAAGAAGAUAAAAAGAUAUUAUGUGAAAAAAAAUUAAAAAAUGUUAAAUGAAGAUAUGAAAUAUUAAAUGCAUAAUAAAUAAAAUGAUAAAUGCAGUUUGGAAUUUACUUAAUGCAUAUUCGAAUUUGUGCGUGGAGGGGUAAUUUUGGAAUGAAUUUUAUAAAAGAUGUAAAUCAAAUAUUUAGUUAAACUUGUCAUUUAGUUCUAAUAAGUUUUGUCAUUAGGAACCUAUAUCUAAGGCCCCUAUUCUUUAUAUUAGGUCACUGCGAAAAAGAGCCCAAAAUACAAUUUAUAUGCAAAUAAUUAAGCUGAUAAGUCAAUCUUAAUAAUUAAAAGGCCACCUCUUAAAUAAACCCUUCUUUUUUCAUAAUUAUAUUGCCACCCUUAAAUAACCAAAACGAUAAAGAAGAGAAGAAAAUAAGGGUGUAAUGAGUUUAUUAUAUUUUUUAGGGGUAUGUCAAUUUACUUUUAGAAUAUAGGUUUAGCUAAAAUAUUAAAUUUAAGUUUGUCUUAUACUAAUUAAGGUUUGGUUUGAGAGGUCUUCAAAUUAUCCCUUAACUUAUCACAUUAAAGUUUUUAUUUUUCAGUUAAAUUCGAAUUAUUUGGUCCGGAUUUAAGGAAAAUGAAUAUAUAAUAUAAUAAUAAUAAGAAGUAUAUAAUGAGAAUAAUUUCUCACGUAUAUUAUUGAUAUAUAAUUAUAGGGGAAAUAUGCAAUAUCCCCUUCAAAUGGAAAAUAUUUUGAACUAAAUUUAACUGACCUUUAGAGACUUUUGCCUACACCCAAGUUUCAUUCUUAAUUAGUGAGACCACCCUUAUCGGAUAUGAUAAGACUAAAAUGCCCUUAUGUGGUUAGGUUUUUAACGUGAUACAAUUUUAUUUUUCUCUUUCACUCCCCCUCUCUCUCUCGUUCCCAAUUUCACGUCGUCUUCUUUUUUUUUUUUCUUUUUUUCUUCCUUCUGCAGAUUUGUAUACUCGCCUGCGCACUCCUUCAUCUUUUUUCACACCACCGCCAUAUAUAGUCCGCUCACCAUAGCCACCGUUGUUCGUGCACUCGUCACCGCCGGAGCCAACAAUACCUUUCAACUGUCGGUCGGCCGAAACCUAAUGCAGGAGGCCCUCCUCCGUACAAGUGGUGGCGGCGGUGCCUCCCCCACCUCGUCGCCACCCUUCGUCGGAUACGUUACAUGGAGAUUUCCCUUUUUCGUUCUCUCUCGAUUUCUCAAUUUUUUUUUUUUUCCAGAUUUGUUCACCACCGCCACCGUAGCCACGUCCCCACUCUCUUUUUCAUUCACUGUCGUUGUCGUCGCCUCCCCCUCCCCCCCUUUCGUUAUUUAGAUUUUCUUCCUUUUUUUUUUCUCUCCAGAUCUGAAACAGCAGCAUAAACGUGACUACUCUAGUUCGAAUAUGACUAUUGUUGAUUAACUCGAUUAGUGAUUUAUUAUUUUCUCGUGUUCGUUGCCUCUCUCGAUUUCUCUCUAUUUACACCAACAUUACCGUCGCCGCUCGUUGCCGUUCAUUUUCACGUAAGGCUCUUUCUCUCUUUUUCGUUAUCUUUCUCGAUUUCUUAGUGUUUUUUUUUUCUUUUUCAGAUUGGUCCACCACCACCGUCGCCGCCUCUCUCACUCUCUUUCCUUCACUACCGCCACCACCGCCGUUGUCGUCGACUUCCCAUGCCUCUCUUUCGUUAUUUUUCUAUCUUUAUUUAUGUAUUUUUUUCAUUUUUUUUUCCAUUCAGAUUUGAACAGCAACUGUAACAUGACUAUAGUCAUAUUCGAAUAUGACUAUAGUCAUAUUUAUGUAUUUUUCGAAUAUGAUUGUAGUCAUAUUGGAAUAUGACUAUUGUUGAAUAUGACUGUAGUCAUAUUCGAAUAUGUUCUAUCUUCUCGUUUUCAAGUUGACUUAUAAUAACUAGGUUCAAAAUUGUUAUUUUUUUAUGUGGAUUUUGAUUGGAUUGUUUUCGUAAACAAUAGAGAAUCUUCGUUGUUUUAUAUAAUUUGGUAAACAUGACUAUACCACACUAUAUAAUCGGAAUUUUUAAGUUGAAAUGUAAAAAAUUGUAAUAUAAUGAAAGAAUAUGUCUACAUAGUCACAUAUAGUCAUAUUCGGAGUUGUAAACCUGUCGAGAAAAAAAAAAUCAAUUUUUUGUUUAAAAAAAAAUGAAAAAAACUAUUUUUAUUUAAAAGUAAAAUUAAAUAAAAAGUGGAUAAAUAAUUCAAAAAUAAUAAAAAAUAAAAAAUAAAAAAAAAAUCAUUUUUUUUAUUUGGUAGCAAUUUUUUAGGAAUUUGGAAGCAGAUUUUUAGGAAUUAGAUUAUUGUUAUGGAAUGAGAAAAAAAAAGGAAUAAUUGAGACUAAUUAUGCUAAUUGACAUAAGGGUAGAACUUGGAAUACAAUUUCUAGGGGUUAUCACAAAGAAAGAUGUAAGGGGUGGACAUAUCACCAUUUAUUAUCUAUAUGAGGGGUUUAUUGCUAAUGACACCAUAGUUAUAUGUAGGAAAUCGUAAUCUGUUACACAAGAUAACUAAAAGAUACACAUGCCAAGAUUAAUACAAGAUAUAUAUCUACAAGAAUAAUAUAAUAAAUAAUAACAAUAAUAUACGGCUAAUACACCCCCGCAGUGGAAACGAUCGAGAAUGGAAAUGAUUUGAAGACUGGAGAAAAACUCGCGAAACAGUUGGGUCAGGAGUCCUUUCGUAAAGAUGUCGGCAAACUGGUAAGCAGAUGGGACAUGGAGAACUCGAACGUGUCUCAAAACAACUUUAUGGCGGACAAAGUGGAUAUAAAAAAUUUCACUAGAGUUUGUGAAUAACUCUUAGUUUGCAAGGGAUGAAUGUAAAUCUGCAAAAUAUGGGGGGAUAUUUUGGUAAUAUAGAAACAUCUAGGGGGUUAUUUGUUAAUUCCAUUUUCUAUUAUAGGAAGUAUCCCCAUUUCAGAUAUGAUCCCAUUAACUAUUAUGAAUCUCUGGAUGUUCUCAUGAUCUGUUUAUCAUGUGAUGAGAGAUUAGUUUUAUUUGAUUUAUUGAUCGCAAAAUUAAUAAUUACUUUUUCUCCAUCUUAAUUAUUCAACUUCUUUUUUGUUUUUACGUCGAUCGGGCCAUAUAGUUAUAUCAGAUAUAAGCAAUUAUUACAUGUAUCUUAUCUUUUCUUUAGUAUGGUGCCGACACAGCCUCUGGAGUAGAGUGUUAGCAAUUCUCAGCAUCAUGUUUGGUUAUUUCAUGACAAUUUGGACCAAAUAAUUCGAAUCAUUAAUAAUAAUAUAUCAACCAAGAACAUAUCUUUUUCAUUUUGUUGUAUUAAUAGUAUAUAUUAUUGUAGUAGAUAGUACUGCAUGAAUGGUAGGAUCACCAAAGUUAGCUGUCCACAUGGCCAUUAAUCAUUCAUCUCCAAAAAAAUAAGACAUUAAUUAAUAUGCGAUAUAACUUCAUUAAUCAACUAACCACAACUCUUAGGUAAAUAAUUAAAGAAACAAAUGCACAUGCAACCAUGGUUGUUGCACGUCAUGAUAAUAUCGAUAUAUAUAUAUAUAUAUAUAUAUAUAUAUAUAUAUAUAUAUAUAUAUAUAUAUAUAUAUAUAUAUAUCACCAAGCCUGUAUAUAUAUGCGUACUCUCCAUUGAGAAAGACAUCAUCGGAGAUUUCGAAAACUAUUUCUUCUAUCUUCAUAUUUUUUUUAUCUCUUUCUUGAAAUAUAUAUAUAUAUACACAGGUACCCUUUUCUAAUAAUAAAUGGCCAAUUUUUCGACAGCAAAUGAAACCAACUUUUCGAGUUACGAUGAUUUGAAUGAGGUAGAGCUCUUAGAAUAUAUCGACAGCUGUUCACUACUUGUUAUGUCUUUACUCCAACAAGACGACGAUGAUUCAAAAGUCGAAGAUGUUAAUAAUGGAUCUGAUGAUCAAAGGUUGGAUAAUAUUGUGGAUCAAGAAUAUUCCUGCAGUUCUCAUGAGACUUGCAGUACUUCAUCAGACGACGAAUAUUCAGAAGAUUCUCUAUUUUCGCAAAUGGAAAGCUGCUCCAUGUCACCAGAUGAUCAUGGAUUUGAAUGGAUGGAUAUCGAGAUGAAUUACUUUAUCGAUAAUCAUCAUUUCACAGACGAGAUUGAAAC
RNAcentral lists this long non-coding RNA (8902 nucleotides) under Erythranthe guttata (spotted monkey flower). RNAcentral's name for it is "long non-coding RNA (EGUT_LNC000162)". Lineage: Eukaryota; Viridiplantae; Streptophyta; Magnoliopsida; Lamiales; Phrymaceae. The record is from RNAcentral.